This is a long non-coding RNA of Nelumbo nucifera (sacred lotus), 1321 nucleotides long. RefSeq lists it as uncharacterized. Lineage: Eukaryota; Viridiplantae; Streptophyta; Magnoliopsida; Proteales; Nelumbonaceae. The record is from RefSeq and is a predicted model, not a curated record.
GUCCUGAGGUCCAUAGGUGGAAUACUUGGAAGGAUGAAAAAAAUGUUCUAAGCCGGUGGUCUUUACGACUGCCGCUAUUUUGAGAGAUAAGGCGGCCACCACAUAAACCGGAUAGCAUCUGACGCGGCAGUUUUUGCAAAUUGGCAUGACGGAGAGAGAGAAAGAGAGAGAAAGAGAGAGAGAGAGAGAGAGAGAGAGAGAGAGAAAACAUUGGAAAGCCAGGCAGUGAUAGGGAGAUCUCCAAGAGAAGAAGGCAUACCAAAGAUUGAGAGGGGAAUACCAACAUUGUGUGACUCUGAAAAUCUUGAGAAGAAGGCAUACAAGCGAUUUGGAGAUCUCCAAGAAGAAUAUGUUUCUCAUUUGGACGAUGGUGAUGAAACCAAGCUUCGGAUUUUAGGGAAUACUACUGCUAUUGGUGAUGAAAGUAGCAAUGGUACUUUUUUCAGGGCUGUUCUGUUGGCUCGUCGAGGAAAGUGAUCUCGGGAAGGAUUCUAAGAGAAAGGAAGCUUUUGCAAGGUUGCAGCAAUUGCAAAUGGGGUGAUUAGUGCUUCAAGUCCAAGUGUUCCUCAGCUUGCACCUGUCUAUCUAAAACUUGGAACUUGGCAAUGGGCACUUUCUCUUGGAUUAGAUGAUGAUUCUAUACCAGAAAUCCUUAUGGCAUUUACUCAUUGUGCAAAAGAUUGGGCGAAGGCAUGACACACAUGGGCACUAUUCAAUACAGCAGUGAUGUCGCACUAUACUUUAAGAGGAUUCCCUACUAUUGCAGGGUAAUAUGUUGUAGCAGCUGCUAUUGGAUAAUUUCAUUCUAUAGCAUAUGCUACCACUGCUAAAGGAGUGGAUGACAACCUACAAGUAUCCGUUUUUCCUGGUUUAGGAGCUAUGUUUGUAACUUGGCUUAGGUUGAGGCUUUCCAGUUUAUCUUAAUUGGAGCCGAGGAUGCUAGCAAUUGAAUUGUCACACAUGUGACUUACACAUUUUGCUUAUGAGUUACUUGCUCCCUAAAAGCACUUCAAAACUGCUACAAAUACAGUAUGUAGAGCAGGUUACAUAACCAAUCAAGACUGAAUGCACGAGUGUGUUGUACGAGUUUCUUGUAAGGAUGGCGGGCAUGUUCACUCUUGAUUGGGUUACAUAGCCUAUUUGUACAUGUCUUGUUUGUAGUAUUGUAUUCUGCAUGGCUCAUGAUUAUGCUUUAUUUAUGGGCUAUAGUUCGUGGAAUUAAACAACCUUCUAUUGUUAAGGGUUUUGAUGUGAUGACAAUAAUUGGCUCAACUCAACUUUAAUCCUAACUGUUUGAUCUAAUGUAUAAUUCUUCUAUGAA